GACGAACGCUGGCGGCGUGCUUAACACAUGCAAGUCGAGCGGUAAGGCCCUUUCGGGGUACACGAGCGGCGAACGGGUGAGUAACACGUGGGUGACCUGCCCUCAGCUCUGGGAUAAGCCUGGGAAACCGGGUCUAAUACUGGAUAUGACUCCAUGACGCAUGUUGUGGGGUGGAAAGCCUUGUGCGGCUGAGGAUGGGCCCGCGGCCUAUCAGCUUGUUGGUGGGGUGAGGGCCUACCAAGGCGACGACGGGUAGCCGGCCUGAGA
This 267-nucleotide ribosomal RNA is filed under the name uncultured bacterium. Its description in RNAcentral is "partial 16S ribosomal RNA". It matches the Rfam family "Bacterial small subunit ribosomal RNA", at positions 28 to 297 of the family's 1533-position model. The record is from RNAcentral.